This 497-nucleotide ribosomal RNA is filed under the name uncultured bacterium. RNAcentral's name for it is "partial 16S ribosomal RNA". It matches the Rfam family "Bacterial small subunit ribosomal RNA", at positions 28 to 507 of the family's 1533-position model. The record is from RNAcentral.
GAUGAACGCUGGCGGCGUGCCUAAUACAUGCAAGUCGAGCGAACAGACGAGGAGCUUGCUCCUCUGACGUUAGCGGCGGACGGGUGAGUAACACGUGGAUAACCUACCUAUAAGACUGGGAUAACUUCGGGAAACCGGAGCUAAUACCGGAUAAUAUAUUGAACCGCAUGGUUCAUUAGUGAAAGACGGUUUUGCUGUCACUUAUAGAUGGUUCCGCGCCGCAUUAGCUAGUUGGUAAGGUAACGGCUUACCAAGGCGACGAUGCGUAGCCGACCUGAGAGGGGGAUCGGCCACACUGGAACUGAGACACGGUCCAGACUCCUACGGGAGGCAGCAGUAGGGAAUCUUCCGCAAUGGGCGAAAGCUUGACGGAGCAACGCCGCGUGAGUGAUGAAGGUCUUCGGAUCGUAAAACUCUGUUAUUAGGGAAGAACAAAUGUGUAAGUAACUAUGCACGUCUUGACGGUACCUAAUCAGAAAGCCACGGCUAACUACGUG